AUCAUUCGAGUGAGCACAAAGAGUAGCAUAAGCUCUCCUUUGACAUCUUCACCAACCUCUCAUCGUUCCCUUCUCUGUAAUAACGUCGUUUUGCAAAACUGCAAUGGUCCUGAGCCGAUAAGCCUCUAAUGAAAUUAUAGACUCAUCGGCUCAGGACCAUUGCGGUUGUGCAAAACGGUGUUAUUGCCGAGAAGGGAACGCAUGAGAGGUUGGUGAAAACGUCAAAGGGCUCUUAUGCUACUCUUUUUUUUUCUCAUAUGAGUGAGU
Molecule: microRNA precursor, 267 nt
Organism: Arabidopsis lyrata subsp. lyrata
Lineage: Eukaryota; Viridiplantae; Streptophyta; Magnoliopsida; Brassicales; Brassicaceae
Rfam family: MIR839 microRNA precursor family
Source: Rfam